Molecule: long non-coding RNA, 2303 nt
Organism: Spinacia oleracea (spinach)
Lineage: Eukaryota; Viridiplantae; Streptophyta; Magnoliopsida; Caryophyllales; Amaranthaceae
Exons: 3
Source: RefSeq, a predicted model, not a curated record
AAAAAAAAAAAAACUAAUGCAGCAGCAGACUAAAUAAAUCAAACCGUAAAAUCAAAAACCUCGCGCAAACCAAAAUCUCAAGCAAAAGUGCAAAACCAAAACCUUAACAUUCUACCCUAUCCUUUCUAACAAAACCCCAGAAUCCAAUCUCCUGGAAAACUUAGACCAUAAUCACGCACCACUACCAGAUCACCGCUGCACCACCAGAUCACCGCCGCACUACUGUACCGCAUUAUUGUUCGUUGGCCCCCCUCUCCCUCUCCCUCUACUCAAAAUCCCCAAUUCGUCUAGCGCUUUUCGGCGACUUUUAGGGUUUUGCGCAAAAAUUGAAUCACACAGCGUCGAAUGGCCGGAGCUAGAUCUUUGUUCUUUGGCUCCCCUCUCCUUCUCUCUCCUUUGGCUGUUUUAUAUAUCAAGAAAGAAUUCAACUUGCAGAGUGCACCAACUUUGGAAGGCUUAAUUGUGACUAUGGCACUAGUUGGAGCAACUCUGAUCACAACAUGUUGCGGACCGAUUUCAGAUCGUGUUGGUCGUCGCCCUAUGAUGAUUAUCUCAUCUCUCUGUUACUUUGUUAGUUCCUAAAUAAUUUUGGGGUCUCCUAAUAAUUAUGUUAUACUCUUUCACCUUCUAUUGGAUGGUUGCGGAAAUUGGUAGUAGUCACUCUUGUUCCUCUUUAUAUACCAGAGACAGCUCCAACUGAAAUAAGGGGUUCAUUGAACACACUUCCUCAGUUCACUGGUUCUGGUGGAAUGUUUGCCGCGAACUGUAUGGUUUUUGGAAUGUCACUAAUAGGAAAACCUAGUUGGAGAUUGAUACUUGGGGUUAUUUUAGUUUCAUCCAGUAUUCACUAUAUAUUAACUGUAUUCUUCUUGCCCGAGUCUCCUCGUUGGCUUGUUAGUAAAGGAAGAAUGAAUGAGGCCAAAAGGGUUCUUCAACAAUUGCGAGGCAGGGAUGAUGUCGAUGAGAUGAUAACCAACAUUGAGUAGAGUUUGAAGAGAGAAAAGUAACUAUAAUGAAGUAAACAUGGAUUUGAAAACAUGAUGCAUCUAUCUUUUGUUGAUAUUGCAAUUCGGUCAAGCUGCAAACCAAUAACUCCAUCCCACUCACUGUCAUUUUCUGUCUCAUCUAAACCAGGGAAGAUUGUUUCUCCUUUCUUUCCGUCUUGAAGUCUUAUCUCAUCUAAUUGUUAGUGAGUAUGAUUUAGACUCACAUCUGUCUAAACUUUUACUUAGUGUUAGUUCUUCAGGUUGGAUUAUGAUGACUAUGUAAUACUUUGAUCUAAGAGCUUUUUAUUAAAACCUACUUAUAUUUUCUCGUCUUCUCCUUAAAAAAAGUCUUGAAAAUGAAAGCAAUGUUUGGAAAUUGAUCUUAAAUAGAUAGUUGAUUGAAAAUUGAAAGGUAAAGCAAUGUGAUGUAAUUUACAUUUUCUUUGAUAGUUUGAUGGGUAUUAUAAAGUUGUUAUGUGGGCUAGCUUUGCUAUCACCUCUUAGUUUUUUCUGAUAAAUCUGACAGGUUUGAGACAUCAAAUCCCUGUACUUGUUCCAUAAGCAGCCUGCUUGAUACUAAUUCAUGUCACUAUUUCAGCAAUCAUGAUAGCUAGGUUUAAUCGUAUAGUCAACAGUCUUAACACGAAAAAAUACUGGCAAUUUGAGACUUAAAUCCUUAAGAGAUAACCCGUGCUGUUGUUUGUCUGGACUUCUGUCUGCACCUCCCUGCAAUCCUGUUGCUGUUUUUGUAUUGCUUGCCGCAUGUUCUUUGUUAAAUACUAUUUCUUCUUGCUAUCAUGUUCAUUUAGUACUCUUACAUUUUAACUUGUAUUGUAGUAUUUUAACAAAGCUCCCACGUAUUCUCAAACUACGAUUUACGAGCUAAGGGAGAGGUGGAUCUCAUACGUUAUCGAAUAUCACCAAUCAAAUAACGAUGAAGAUGAAGAUUAUGAUGAUGAUGAUCUAGUGUGACUUAAGCUAGCUCAGGGAGAUGGUUACCUCAGUUCAGUCCGGCAGAUGAACUGCCAAGUCUACCACCAGUAGACAAUUCCAACAAUAUGGUCCUUGUUCUUGCUGCAGAAGCUGCCAUUGUUUUUGCUACACCAUCCCUAGUUGCUGCUGCAAUCCCCAGUACGUUGCUGCUGCUACAGAAGCUUCAGCUCUUGAAUAUUUUUUUUUUAUUUAUAUUGGAUUUUGUUUUUGCCGUACCUUAGUGUAGAUCGUUUAUAUUUUAUCAAUGAAUAAUAAGAUUUUGUUAUUGAAUGAACACUAUUAUGUUGUUAUUGAAUGAAAGUAUUUUUGGAAAGAUCGUGUGGA